RNAcentral lists this small nuclear RNA (99 nucleotides) under Pseudonaja textilis. The record is from RNAcentral. Lineage: Eukaryota; Metazoa; Chordata; Lepidosauria; Squamata; Elapidae.
GUGCUCGCUUCAGCAGCCCAUAUACUAAAAUUGGAAUGAUAGAUUAGCAUGGCCCCUGCGCAAGGAUGACACGCAAUUUGUGAAGUGUUUCAUAUUUCA